GAUGAGCGCUGGCGGCGUGCCUAAUACAUGCAAGUCGAGCGAACAGACGAGGAGUUUGCUCCUCUGACGUUAGCGGCGGACGGGUGAGUAACACGUGUAUAACCUACCUAUAAGACUGGGAUAACUUCGGGAAACCGGCGCUAAUACCGGAUAAUAUAUUGAACCGCAUGGUUCAAUAGUGAAAGACGGUUUUGCUGUCACUUAUAGAUGGAUCCGCGCCGCAUUAGCUAGUUGGUAAGGUAACGGCCUACCAAGGCAACGAUGCGUAGCCGACCUGAGAGAGUGGUCGGCCACACUGGAAGUGAGGCACGGUCCAGACGCCUGCGGGAGGCAGCAGUAGGGAAUCUUACGCAAAGGGCGAGAGCCUGACGGAGCAACGCCGCGUGAGUGAUGAAGGUGUUCGGAUCGGAAAGCUCUGUUAGUAGGGGAGAACAAAUGUGUAAGUAACUAUGCAGGUCUUGACGGUACCUGAUCAGAAAGCCACGGCUAACUACGUG
RNAcentral lists this ribosomal RNA (497 nucleotides) under uncultured bacterium. RNAcentral describes it as "partial 16S ribosomal RNA". It matches the Rfam family "Bacterial small subunit ribosomal RNA", at positions 28 to 507 of the family's 1533-position model. The record is from RNAcentral.